GGUGGCUCAGUGGUAGAGUGCUUGCCUAGCAUGCAUGAGGCCGUGGGUUCGAUUCCUUAGCACCA
This 65-nucleotide transfer RNA is filed under the name Dipodomys ordii (Ord's kangaroo rat). It matches the Rfam family "tRNA". From Rfam's summary of the family: Transfer RNA (tRNA) molecules are approximately 80 nucleotides in length. Their secondary structure includes four short double-helical elements and three loops (D, anti-codon, and T loops). Lineage: Eukaryota; Metazoa; Chordata; Mammalia; Rodentia; Heteromyidae. The record is from Rfam by way of RNAcentral.